RNAcentral lists this ribosomal RNA (499 nucleotides) under uncultured bacterium. RNAcentral describes it as "bacterial SSU rRNA". It matches the Rfam family "Bacterial small subunit ribosomal RNA", at positions 30 to 527 of the family's 1533-position model. The record is from RNAcentral.
AUUGAACGCUGGCGGAAUGCUUUACACAUGCAAGUCGAACGGUAGAGGGGGCAACCCCUUGAGAGUGGCGAACGGGUGAGUAAUAUAUCGGAACGUGCCCAGUCGUGGGGAUAACGUAGCGAAAGUUACGCUAAUACCGCAUACGAUCUAAGGAUGAAAGCGGGGGAUCGCAAGACCUCGCGCGAUUGGAGCGGCCGAUAUCAGAUUAGGUAGUUGGUGAGGUAAAGGCUCACCAAGCCAACGAUCUGUAGCUGGUCUGAGAGGACGACCAGCCACACUGGAACUGAGACACGGUCCAGACUCCUACGGGAGGCAGCAGUGGGGAAUUUUGGACAAUGGACGCAAGUCUGAUCCAGCCAUUCCGCGUGCAGGAUGAAGGCCCUCGGGUUGUAAACUGCUUUUGUACGGAACGAAAAGGUUUCUAUUAAUACUAGGAGCUCAUGACGGUACCGUAAGAAUAAGCACCGGNUAACUACGUGCCAGCAGCCGCGGUAAAGUG